UACGUAGGGGGCAAGCGUUGUCCGGAAUUAUUGGGCGUAAAGAGCGCGUAGGCGGUCCGAUAAGUCGGCUGUGAAAGUCAGGGGCUCAACCCUUGAAAGCCGGCCGAUACUGUCGGACUAGAGUCCGGAAGAGGCAAGUGGAAUUCCCGGUGUAGCGGUGAAAUGCGCAGAUAUCGGGAGGAACACCAGUGGCGAAGGCAGCUUGCUGGGACGGUACUGACGCUGAGGCGCGAAAGCGUGGGGAGCAAACAGG
This 253-nucleotide ribosomal RNA is filed under the name uncultured bacterium. RNAcentral's name for it is "partial 16S ribosomal RNA". It matches the Rfam family "Bacterial small subunit ribosomal RNA", at positions 524 to 776 of the family's 1533-position model. The record is from RNAcentral.